This 877-nucleotide ribosomal RNA is filed under the name uncultured archaeon. RNAcentral's name for it is "bacterial SSU rRNA". It matches the Rfam family "Archaeal small subunit ribosomal RNA", at positions 22 to 903 of the family's 1478-position model. The record is from RNAcentral.
GGCUACUGCUAUUGGGAUUCGACUAAGCCAUGCGAGUCUAUGGACUUCGGUCCAUGGCGGACGGCUCAGUAACACGUGGCUAACCUACCCUCAGGUGGGGCAUAACCUCGGGAAACUGAGGAUAAUACCCCAUAGGAAAAGAGGUUUGGAAUAAUCCUUUUCUGAAAGGAUAUCCGCCUGAGGAUGGGGCUGCGUCCGAUUAGGUAGUUGGUGGGGUAAUGGCCCACCAAGCCUACGAUCGGUACGGGCCUUGAGAGAGGGAGCCCGGAGAUGGGGACUGAGACACGGCCCCAGGCCCUACGGGGCGCAGCAGGCGCGAAACCUCCACAAUGCACGAAAGUGCGAUGGGGGAAUCCCAAGUGCCUAUGCACAGCAUAGGCUUUUCCCAAGUCUAAACAACUUGGGGAAUAAGGGCUGGGCAAGUCCGGUGCCAGCAGCCGCGGUAACACCGGCGGCCCGAGUGGUGGCCACUCUUAUUGGGCCUAAAGCGUCCGUAGCCGGUUCAGUAAGUCUCUGUUUAAAUCCUACGGCUUAACCGUAGGGCUGGCAGAGAUACUGCUGGACUUGGGACCGGGAGAGGAAGAGGGUACUUCGGGGGUAGCGGUGAAAUGCGUUGAUCCCUGAGGGACCACCUAUGGCGAAGGCACUCUUCUGGAACGGGUCCGACGGUGAGGGACGAAAGCCAGGGGAGCGAACCGGAUUAGAUACCCGGGUAGUCCUGGCCGUAAACUUUGCGAACUAGGUGUCAUCUGGACCUCGGGUCCAGGUGGUGCCGAAGGGAAGCCAUUAAGUUCGCCGCCUGGGGAGUACGGUCGCAAGACUGAAACUUAAAGGAAUUGGCGGGGGAGAACGCACAACCGGGUGGAGCCUGCGGUUU